GACGAACGCUGGCGGCGUGCUUAACACAUGCAAGUCGAACGGAAAGGCCUCUUUCGGGGGGUACUCGAGUGGCGAACGGGUGAGUAACACGUGAGUAACCUGCCCUUGACUUUGGGAUAACUUCAGGAAACUGGGGCUAAUCCCGGAUAGGAGCUCCUUCUGCAUGGUGGGGGUUGGAAAGUUUCGGCGGUUGGGGAUGGACUCGCGGCUUAUCAGCUUGUUGGUGGGGUAGUGGCUUACCAAGGCUUUGACGGGUAGCCGGCCUGGGAGGGUGACCGGCCACAUUGGGACUGAGAUACGGCCCAGACUCCUACGGGAGGCAGCAGUGGGGAAGAUUGCACAAGGGGUGGAAGCCUGAUGCAGCAACGCCGGGUGCGGGAUGACGGCCUUCGGGUUGGAAACCGCUUUCGCUCAUGACGAAGCUUUGUGUGACGGUAGUGGGUAAAGAAGCACCGGCUAACUACGUG
This 467-nucleotide ribosomal RNA is filed under the name uncultured bacterium. RNAcentral's name for it is "partial 16S ribosomal RNA". It matches the Rfam family "Bacterial small subunit ribosomal RNA", at positions 28 to 507 of the family's 1533-position model. The record is from RNAcentral.